GCGGACAUAGCUCAAUUGGCAGAGUACAAGCUUCCCAAGCUUGGGGUUGCGGGUUCGAUUCCCGUUGUCCGCUCCA
RNAcentral lists this transfer RNA (76 nucleotides) under Deltaproteobacteria bacterium. Its description in RNAcentral is "tRNA-Gly". It matches the Rfam family "tRNA". From Rfam's summary of the family: Transfer RNA (tRNA) molecules are approximately 80 nucleotides in length. Their secondary structure includes four short double-helical elements and three loops (D, anti-codon, and T loops). Lineage: Bacteria; Pseudomonadati; Myxococcota; Myxococcia. The record is from RNAcentral.